CAGGGAGUUGUUGACAGAUAUGAUAAAGAAGUUUUGCAAGGACAGCAAUGAGCCUAUUCCAAAGGGUCUGCGGAAGAUGGAUGAUCAAACAUUGAGUGAGACAAUACCUUGAGCCAAAAAGGUACUUGGUUUUAUUUGAUGAUGUUUGGAAAGAAAAAAUUUCUGAUGAGAUUGAACAUGCCUUAAUUGGUAAUAACAAAGGAAGUAGAAUCAUUGUGACCACUAGAAUGAUUCAUGUAGCUGAAUAUUUUAAGAAAUCUUUUCCUGUUCACAUUCACGAGCUACAACGUUUGCCUCCUAACAAAGCUUGGGAACUGUUUUGCAACAAGGUGUUUAGAGGGCAAUGUCCAACAGAACUUGAGGAGAUGUCCAAUGAAAUUGUUCAAAAAUGAGGAGGGCUACCACUGGCAAUUGUGGCUAUCGGAGGUCUUUUGUCAACAAAACCAAAAACCAUGUUUAAGUGGAGAAAGCUGAGUCAAAAUCUCAGAAUGCAGUUAGAGCGCAAUGUGCAUUUGACCGAUCUAAUGAAGAUUUUGUCUCUUAGUUUUGAUGAUUUGCCUUACCAUUUGAAAUCAUGCAUGCUAUAUUUUGGUAUAUAUCCUGAAGACUACACUAUUAAGCGGAAGAGACAUAAGCGGAAGAGACAUAAUAGGCAAUGGAUGGCUGAAGGGUUUGUUAAGGCAAUGGAGAUAAGACAAUUGGAGGAAGUUGUUGAAGAGUCCCUGAUAGAGUUUAUACAAAGAAGUUUGGUUCAUGUUUCCAGAAUUGGCUUUGAUGGGAAAGUCAAAAUUUGUCAAGUCCAUGAUGCGCGAAGUGAUCAUUAGAAAAAUGAAGGAUUUAAGUUUUUGUCAUUUAAUGCAUAAAGUUGAUGAACAAGUCACUGUUGGAGUAACUCGACGCUUUUCUAUAGCAGCUUUCUCCAAUAAUGACUUGAAGAACUCAGGAACUCGUGCUAUAUUUGUUUUUGACAAAGGUGAAUUGCCUGAACAUAUCAUGGAUGGAUUAUCUUCCAAGUUCAAGCUUUUGAAGGUACUUGAUUUUGAGAAUUCAUUGUUGAGUUCUAUUCCCGAUAACUUGUGGAAUCUUUUCCACCUAAGGUACUUGAACCUGAGUCAUACAAAAGUUACAGUCCUUCCGAAAUCCAUUGGUAUGCUUGUAAACUUAGAAACCUUGGAUAUAAGGCAAACUAAAGUGCAUGAGUUACCAAAAGAGAUAAACAAGCUCACAAAACUAAGGCUUCUUCCCGUUUAUUACAGAAAAUAUGAAGGGCGCUAUUGUAUGUUGAACUUUACAGAUGGAGUGAAAAUGCAAGAAGGUAUUGGAUGUUUGAAAUCUUUACAAAAGCUGUACUUUUGGAAGCAGAGCAAAAUGUUGUCCAAAGAGCUCAAAAUGUUGAAACAGUUAAGGAAGUUAGCAUAAGGCGUAUGCGGAGAGAAUUUCUUGACUUUGAUCUUGUAUCAGCUACGCCCCAUCUUAGGGUGCUCAAGUAUCUUGUGAAGCUAAGACUUGGCUUAUCUAAUUUUGAAGAUGAUCCACACUAGACACUUUGAAGAAGUUGCCUAAUUUGUUGCACAGAGGGACAUGAAUAUGUGGAUAACUCAUGGCCAGGGGUGCUCCCUACAGGUCGGGGAGGACCUUGGUCCUUCCCAAAAUGCGGUCCUCCCCAAAAUUUUCAUUUUUUUUUGGUAUAAAUAAUUUGUAAGGUUUUUCUCAAUGUUUUUUAGUGCGGUAUAAAAUUACUCAAAUAUUACAUUAGUGUAAUUUAUAUCUCUUUUUACACGCAUGUACGCAUGCGCACGCGCGUGCGCAUGCAUACACAUGACGACCCUUAAAAAAUUUCAAUCAAUCAUACAACAACACAAUUAUUCUAAUCAGGCAACCAUUGAAUUGAAAGCAUGAUAGAUAUAUAACAGAAUAAUUUGAGCAGAAAAGAAUCCUUUUCCGAGUACAAGUUAUUGGCACUAGUCAUAUCAUAUCUGAGCAUUUUCAACAACGUUUGGUUUUUGUUUACCCAUUGCCACUAUCUCUCUUUACAAAUUCUGAAACAGGUUACCCCACAAAUGAGACAACUCAUUUCAUUGCCACUUUUUGUUUGUACCACAAUUAUUGUCCUAAUCGCACAAUAGUACUAUGCACGUUUUAAACACUCUCUCUGUGCCUUGUCUGCACUCUUCCAAACUUUUUCCUUCCUUCAUACCUAAUUAUUCAUGCUAAUAUUUGCAGGUUGCUGGAACAAGAUGAGAAAGCAACAUAAGAGAUGGUGUUAUAUACUCAAAAGUGAAUUUAAACAUGCAUAAGUUUCCCAUUUUUAAAGGCUACGACCACAUAUUUAGGAAUGUCAAUUUGAUUUGUAAAUGAGAAUUCCCACGAGGAUUGCUCUAUUUGGAAGCUCAAAGGCGGGAGAUUUUUGCCCGCAAAGAUGAGAUUUACGUCGUCAAAUAAUAUUUAUAUUGGUAUGAUCAAGUACUUUAUAUAUUGGUUCAAAAAAAAAAGUACCUUAUAUAUUAUAUUUAUGGUCAUUACAUUCAUGAGUCUUUUAAGUUUUUCUAUUUAUAAUAGAUAGGUCCUGUAAACUUUGUAGGUAGCAAAGUACCUUAUGAAGAUGAAGAAGAAUACUCUCCGAAACGGAGAAUGAGGAGCAUUUAGAUGAUAGAAAAGAAAGUGUUAAAGUACUUCCCGCUCAAUCUACACCCCGUUAACAUCCUUACACGUGCUCCAUCACUUCUUGGUUGCUUCUUCACCGACACAAAUACUCCAUCCGGUCUCAUAUAUAUAUAUAUAUACUAGAUACAUAACUUUUUUAAUGAAUCUAAAAAGUUAAUUUUUGCUUAUAUAUGAAACCAAGGAAGUAAUAAUAAGCAAAUAAUAUUCCAAAGACCAAGACUUUUCAUUGGUCAAAGUCUACCACACAAUAAUACUACCCGCCGUCCUUUUUAUAAUAAACAGAUGAUUUUCUAGGUUCAUUGAAUAACUAAUAUGUUGCACGCAAACGAGCACUUGCAAUAUAGAUCAAAUACACAAUGAACCUAAAAAGUGAGUUGUUUCUUAUAAAAAAGAACCGGGUGAAGUAAUUUCUGGUAGUUGUUUUUGUCAAAUAAUAAUUGUUGUUUUUAUCUCCAGUCCACCACACAAGCCUCUAAUAGAAAGUGAAGUAGUUUCUUGUAAACUAAACACAACUUCACUAUUCAAAGUGUUUGAUACUUAAAAUCUAAUCACCAAAACAGACACUUGAACUUGCUUGAAUUGCCAAAAAUUGCUUGUAUGAGCCAACCUGAUUGAUGACAACAUUGUAAUGAAAUGGCAGAAGCUGUAGUGUCAUUUGUUUUGAAAAAAAUUUGUGAAUCUGUAGUACAAGAAAGCAGUUUACUGACAGAGGUUGAGAGAGACUUCAACGACAUCAAGGAUGACCUUGUGAGCAUCCAAGCCUUCCUCAAGAAUGCAGACACAAAGGCUGCUGCUAAUGAAGGAGUCCAAACUUGGGUGAAGCAACUAAGAGAAGCAUCUUUUCGCAUAGAAGAUGUCAUUGAUGAGUAUAUCAUGCAUGAGGCACAAAAGAUCAACCAGUCUAGAUCCAUAGCCACACUCCAAAUGAUUCCUAACAUGAUCUGGCGCUACCAGAUUGCUCGUGAGAUUCAAGACAUCAAGUCAUCACUUGGUAAAAUCAAACAAAAAAAUACAGAGUUUGAGUUUCGGUCUGAAAGUGGAUCAGGAAGAUCUCGAGGGUUUAAAGCUCCUAGAAUUGGUGACCCUCGACUGGAUCCUUAUUUCAUUGAAGAGACUCAAGUUGUAGGGUUUGAGGAUCCAAGAGAUGAAUUGGUGAGUUGGUUGGUAGAGGAAACCGAUGAUCUCUUGUUGAUUUCUGUUGUAGGCAUGGGAGGACUCGGGAAAACCACUCUCGCUAAGCAUGUUUUUGACAACCAGUUAGUGAAAGAUCAAUUUCAUUACCGCUCUUUCAUUACGGUUUCUCAAUCCUACAACAUGAGGGAGUUGUUGAGAUAUAUGAUAAAGAAAUUUUGCAAGGACAACAAUGAGCCUAUUCCAAAGGGUCUGCAAAAGAUGGACGAUGUAAAUUUUAUUACUCAAGUGAAACAAUACCUUGAGUCAAAAAAGUACUUGGUUGUAUUUGAUGAUGUAUGGGAAGAAAAAAUUUCUGAUGAGAUUAAAGAUGCCUUAGGUAGUAAUAUCAAAGGAAGUAGAAUCAUUGUGACCACUAGAAAAAUGCCUAUAGCAGACUAUUUUAAGAAGUCGUUUCUUGUUCGUGUUCACAAGCUACAACCUUUGUCUAUAGAGAAAGCAUCGGAACUUUUCUGCAACAAGGCAUUUAGAUCUAAGCCUGGAAAGCAGUGUCCAACAGAACUUAAGGAAUUGUCCGAUGAAAUUGUUCAAAAAUGUGAAGGGCUACCACUAGCAAUUGUGGCCAUUGGAGGUCUUUUGUCAACAAAAGAUGAAGACAUGUUUGAGUGGAGAAAGGUGAUUCAAAAUCUCAGAAUGGAGUUAGCGCGCAAUGUCCAUUUGGCCGUUCUAGACAAGAUUUUAUCUCUUAGUUAUGAUGAUUUGCCUUACCAUUUGAAAUCAUGCAUGCUAUAUUUUGGUAUAUAUCCUGAGGACUACAUCAUCAAUCGGAAGAGACUUACAAGGCAAUGGAUGGCUGAAGGGUUUGUUAAGAAUGAGGAGCAAAGACCAUUGGAGGAAGUUUCUGAAGAGUACCUGACAGAGUUAAUACAGAGAAGUUUGGUUAAUGUCUCCGCAGUUGGUUUUGAUGGAAAAGUCAGAAGUUGCAAAAUUCAUGAUGUGUUGCGUGAAGUGAUCAUUAGUAAGAUGAAAGAUUUAAGUUUUUGUCAUUUAAUGAAUAAAGACGAUGAACAAGUGACUAUUGGAGUAACUCGACGCUUUUCUAUAGCAGCUUUCUCCAACAGUGACUUGGAGAACUCAGGAACGCGUGCUAUCAUUGUGUUUGACAAAGGUGACUUGCCUGAACAUUUCAUGGAUGGAUUAUCUUCCAAGUUCAAGCUUUUGAAAGUACUUGAUUUUCAGAAUUCUUUGUUGAAUUCCCUUCCUGAUAACAUGGGGAAUCUUUUCCACCUCAGGUACUUGAACCUAAGUCAUACAAAAGUUACAAUUCUUCCGAGAUCCAUCGGUAAUCUAGUCAACUUAGAAACCUUGGAUCUAAGGCAAACUAAAGUUCAUGAGUUACCAAAAGAGAUAAACAACCUCACCAAGCUAAGGCUUCUUCCGGUUUAUUAUAGAAGAUAUGAAGGUCAUUAUGAUAUGUUGAACUUUACAACUGGUGUGCAACUGCAAGAGGGUAUUGGAUGCUUGAAGUCAUUACAGAAGCUUUACUUUUUGGAAGCAGAUCAUGGUGGAGUAGACCUUUUCCGAGAGCUCAAAAUGUUGACACAGUUAAGAAAGUUAGGCAUAAGACGCGUGCAACAACAAUAUGGAAAUGCAUUAUGUGCUGUAAUACAAGAGAUGAAAAAUCUGGAAUCUCUUAACAUUACUAUUAUAGCUGAGAAUGAAACCCUUGACUUGGAUUUUUUAUCAACUCCUCCACCUAAUCUUAGAGUUCUCAACUUGAAAAGUAGAUUAGCAAAGUUGCCUGAUUGGAUUCCAAAUCUCAAGUAUCUUGUGAAGCUAAGACUCGGCUUAUCUAACUUCAAAUAUGAUCCACUAGACUCUUUGAAGAAGUUGCCAAAUUUGUUGAGGCUGAAUUUGUGGGAUAAUGCCUUUUCUGGUGAAAGUUUACAUUUUCAAGUUGGAGGGUUUCCUAAGCUGAAGGAGUUGGAUCUCACAAGGUUAAAUAGACUAAGUUCUAUAACCAUAGAUGAAGAAGCUUUACUUGGUCUUGAACACUUCAGAUUUAAAAACAACCCUCAAUUGAAGGUGUUACCACAAGACUUCAAAAACUUGAAAAACCUUCAAUUCCUUGGAUUUGCAGAGAUGCCAGCUGAAUUAGUUGAUAGCAUAGAGGAAGGUGGACCUUGCCAUGGAAUUAUCAAUCAUAUUCCCGUUGUUCAAAUUCGUCAAAAUGAAGGAUCAAGAUUUCAUGACUAUAAAUUGUACCGCAUUCGAACUCAACUCAAUGUCUGAAAUAUAAAGAAGGUACUCUUUUCUCUAACAAUGUUAUGCUUUUCUUAUGAAUGUUUGAAAUUACAUUGCUACUAUAACCAAUUUACAUUUGUUUCAAUUUUGUUUUCCAAUAAUAUGUGCUUCAAUCUUCCCUUUACAUGAUAGUUUGCAUCUUUCUUGCUUUCAAGUAAAACAAUGCUGCAAUCCAUGCAAAACCAUGCUAAGAAAAGUAAUGUUAUCGUUAUGAUAUGCAUUUUGAUAAAAAUGUUGUUAUGAUAUGUAACAUCCCUCUGCAUAUAAUGUGAAUGAAAGUUACUAUAUAUUUGUAUUUCUGAUUUUGUUAUGUAUAGUAUUUUUGUAUUUCCGAAAGUUGCUAUAUUAUUGUGCACAAUGUUUGUAUUAUGUAUUGAUGUCUGAUAAUUGCUAACUUCAAUAAGCUCUUUCAUAGAUCAUAUAACAAGAUUAUUUAUUCAGCAUUAGAAAAAUUAAGGUCUAAGAUUAUAUUAUUUGUAUCAUGCUUAAUUUUGACACUUUCCUUUGUCCAUGUGAACAGAUAAAAUUCUCCAUGAGAUGCACUUUGUCAAAUGGUUCUGGUUUUCGUUUUUCUGUUUUAUGUCAUUUGUGAUGUCGUUUGCUCUGUACUCUUUUUUCCUUCAUCAGGUUUUAUUCUCCUGGUAAGGUUUUUAACGAGGCAGAUGUUGUUUAUGUUCUUGGUUGUGUAUUUUGGGUUUUGGCCUAGUCCCCCCAAUAUUUGUAAUUUCUCAUUUUUUUUACUUUGAAUAAAGUCAUGGAGGAUUCUGAAAUUGAGCUAAAGUCAUAGAAACUUAACAUCUUGUGGUGUCUGUUCCAUUCUAAUCUACAAACCUGCAUAAGUUGAGAUAAUUGGAAGCAUUAAUCAUAAGUUUCAUGUGCCUCAAUCUCAUUUUCCAUCCCUCUAAUGCACAUUAGCAAAAGAAAAUUAUCAUAAAAUAAGUGAUUUUAUUAUUCAAUGUAAAAUUAAUUAACUACGUGGUUAGGCUAAAGGAUUAGAUAGUUGAGAGUUAUAACUACGUGGCACAAAUUUCAGAUUAAAAAACAUAUAGAACUUGAAAUUACAAUUAUACCAAUAUUUUUGUCCUUUUAAUAUUGAGGACAACAACUAUUCUUGUUGCUAAGUUGAAAAUUUAUUAUCAAUGUCCAAUGAGGAAUAGACACCUCAAUCACACGCUUCUCUUGUCUUCUAUCAUUUUCUUCUUUCUUUAAGCUGCUCAAUUUCUUGGUAGUUUGUUAAAGGAAAAAAUUCUCAAGUUGGUCCUUGAAAUAUCAAAAUAAUAUUUUACAUUAUUAAUAUAUAUAUCAAAUCAAAAUAAUCUUUGGAAUUUUUAAGUGUUUUUCAAGUUAUUCCUUUUAAAUGCAUCUCGAACAUCAAUAACUUAAUGUUAUUUACAAAUGUCAUCUGAAGCACGGACACCGGACACAAUACUAAUAUGUCGAUACUGAUAGUAAUUUUAAAAAAAAAAAUGACAUAUAAUUCAAUGUAAUCAGAUAUGUUAGUAUCGAACACCGACACAUGUCUGACACCAACAUACCAGAACACACCUAGUUAGAGGAGUGUAUGUGACUGUGCUUCAUAGCAACUACCUAUCACACCCACUUGUUCUUAAGGCAUUAUAUAUAAAACAAAUUAAUUAGAGCCGACAAAGUUGAAAACUUAAAAAAUUAAUUUCUGCUAGACUCAACUAUUCAUCAGUUAAAAGUCUUCCCACAGAUCAAAGCAAGCCAAAAACAAGGAACUUGAACUGAUUUGCCAAAAAUUGCUUGCAAGAGCUAACCUGAUUGAUGAAAAAUAUUGAACUGAAAUGGCAGAAGAUGCAGUGUCUUCUGUUUUGCAAGAACUCUACAAAUUUGCAUUAGAAGAAGGAACUUUACUGACAGGAGUUGAGAAAGACUUCAUUGACAUCAAAGAUGAUCUUGAGAGCAUCCAAGCCUUUCUCAAGGAUGCAGAUAGAAUGGCAGCAUAUGAAGAAGAAGAAGAAGGAGGAGGAUACGACGAAGGAGCCAAAACUUGGGUGAAGCAACUGAGAGAAGCAUCUUUUCGCAUAGAAGAUGUGAUUGAGGAAUAUAACAUGUAUGUGGCACUGACACCAAAGACAAACCAUUCUGGAUUCAUUGCCACAAUCCAGAUGAUUCCUAACAUGAUCAAAAGCAUGAAUUGGCGCUACCAGAUUGCUUCUGAGAUUCAAGAUAUCAGGUCAUCACUUGGUAAAAUCAAAGAAAGAAGCACAAGGUUUAUGUUUCACAAGUCUGAAAGUAGAUCAGGAAGCUCCCGAGGGACUAAAGCUCCUAGAAUUGGUGACCCUCGAAUGGCUCCUUAUUUCAUCGAAGAGACUCAAGUUGUUGGGUUUGAGAACGCAAGAGAUGAAUUGGUUAGUUUCUUGGUGGGGGGAAACAAUGAGCCCAUGUUGGUUUCUGUGGUUGGCAUGGGAGGACUUGGAAAAACCACUCUCGCUAAGCAUGUUUUUGAUGAUCCGUCGGUGAAAAGGCACUUUGAUUGCCGCUCUUUCAUAACAGUUUCUCAAUCGUACACUAUCAGGGAGUUGUUGACAGAUAUGAUAAAGAAGUUUUGCAAGGACAGCAAUGAGCCUAUUCCAAAGGGUCUGCAGAAGAUGGAUGACCAAACAUUGGUUGCUCGUGUGAGACAAUACCUUGAGUCAAAAAGGUACUUAGUUUUAUUUGAUGAUGUUUGGAAAGAAAAAUUUUCUGAUGAGAUUGAACAUGCCUUAAUUAGUAAUAACAAAGGAAGUAGAAUCAUUGUGACCACUAGAAUGAUGC
This 8877-nucleotide long non-coding RNA is filed under the name Trifolium pratense (red clover). RNAcentral describes it as "long non-coding RNA (TPRA_LNC000253)". Lineage: Eukaryota; Viridiplantae; Streptophyta; Magnoliopsida; Fabales; Fabaceae. The record is from RNAcentral.